CGGAGUGUAGCUCAGCCUGGUAGAGCACUGCGUUCGGGACGCAGGGGUCGGAGGUUCGAAUCCUCUCACUCCGACCA
RNAcentral lists this transfer RNA (77 nucleotides) under Burkholderiales bacterium 1_1_47. Its description in RNAcentral is "tRNA-Pro". It matches the Rfam family "tRNA". Rfam says of the family: Transfer RNA (tRNA) molecules are approximately 80 nucleotides in length. Their secondary structure includes four short double-helical elements and three loops (D, anti-codon, and T loops). Further hydrogen bonds mediate the characteristic L-shaped molecular structure. tRNAs have two regions of fundamental functional importance: the anti-codon, which is responsible for specific mRNA codon recognition, and the 3' end, to which the tRNAs corresponding amino acid is attached (by aminoacyl-tRNA synthetases). tRNAs cope with the degeneracy of the genetic code in two manners: having more than one tRNA (with a specific anti-codon) for a particular amino acid; and 'wobble' base-pairing, i.e. permitting non-standard base-pairing at the 3rd anti-codon position. The record is from RNAcentral. RNAcentral also lists the same sequence under 14 other names. Lineage: Bacteria; Pseudomonadati; Pseudomonadota; Betaproteobacteria; Burkholderiales.